RNAcentral lists this ribosomal RNA (849 nucleotides) under Neodeightonia palmicola. RNAcentral describes it as "SSU rRNA". It matches the Rfam family "Eukaryotic small subunit ribosomal RNA", at positions 50 to 909 of the family's 1831-position model. The record is from RNAcentral. Lineage: Eukaryota; Fungi; Ascomycota; Dothideomycetes; Botryosphaeriales; Botryosphaeriaceae.
CACCUGCAUGUCUAGUAUAGCAUCUAUACUGUGAAACUGCGAAUGGCUCAUUAAAUCAGUUAUCGUUUAUUUGAUAGUACCUUACUACUUGGAUAACCGUGGUAAUUCUAGAGCUAAUACAUGCUAAAAACCCCGACUUCGGGAGGGGUGUAUUUAUUAGAUAAAAAACCAAUGCCCUUCGGGGCUCCUUGGUGAAUCAUGAUAACUUAACGAAUCGCAUGGCCUUGCGCCGGCGAUGGUUCAUUCAAAUUUCUGCCCUAUCAACUUUCGAUGGUAGGAUAGUGGCCUACCAUGGUAUCAACGGGUAACGGGGAAUUAGGGUUCUAUUCCGGAGAGGGAGCCUGAGAAACGGCUACCACAUCCAAGGAAGGCAGCAGGCGCGCAAAUUACCCAAUCCCGACACGGGGAGGUAGUGACAAUAAAUACUGAUACAGGGCUCUUUUGGGUCUUGUAAUUGGAAUGAGUACAAUUUAAAUACCUUAACGAGGAACAAUUGGAGGGCAAGUCUGGUGCCAGCAGCCGCGGUAAUUCCAGCUCCAAUAGCGUAUAUUAAAGUUGUUGCAGUUAAAAAGCUCGUAGUUGAACCUUGGGCCUGGCUGGCCGGUCUGCCUCACCGCAUGUACUGGUUCGGCCGGGCCUUUCCUCCUGGGGAUCCGCAUGCCCUUCACUGGGUGUGUUGGGGAACCAGGACUUUUACUUUGAAAAAAUUAGAGUGUUCAAAGCAGGCCUUUGCUCGAAUACAUUAGCAUGGAAUAAUAGAAUAGGACGUGCGGUCCUAUUUUGUUGGUUUCUAGGACCGCCGUAAUGAUUAAUAGGGAUAGUCGGGGGCAUCAGUAUUCAGUUGUCAGA